AGACGCCAUUUUUUAUUGAUUCACCUGCUCAGGUGAGCGGGGGACACCUGAGCCCCGCAGGUGCUGCCAAGGGGGGGGGAGGGGCCAGGUGAGAGCGGCCAGGUGAGAGCGGCCAGGUGAGGAUUCCAGGUGAGAGUGGCCAGGUGAGGUUAAGGUGAGAGAUUCCAGGUGAAGAUUGUGGGUGAAGAUUCCAGGUGAGAGUGGCCAGGUGAGGAUUCCAGGUGAGGAUUCCAGGUGAGGAUUCCAGGUGAGAGGUCCAGGUAUGAGGUUCACGUGAGAGGCGCCAGGUGAGGUUCAGGUGAGGAUUCCAGGUGAAGAUUCCAGGUAAGGUUCCAAGUGAGAGCGGCCAGGUGAGAAGGCCAGGUGAGGUUCAGGUGAG
Long non-coding RNA from Vidua macroura (Pin-tailed whydah), 379 nucleotides. RefSeq lists it as uncharacterized. The transcript has 5 exons. The record is from RefSeq and is a predicted model, not a curated record. NCBI's taxonomy places the organism in Eukaryota, Metazoa, Chordata, Aves, Passeriformes, Viduidae.